AGGGGGAGUCGGGCUACAUGUAAACCAAGUCCUUUACAAAUUCUGCCUCUGUCUUCUCGAGGAGCUUAAGAGUUGAAGGGCGCCGAAGAGAAGACAACAGCGGGAACGAAAUAACUUUUGCUUCGGCAACAGGAAGAUAACUGAUGCGCUUUUCUUCCGGGGUUUGGCUUUCGCUCUGACAUCACGCAGGCUACCAUCUACCUGAAAGGAGGGACAUCUUACUCCUCCUAACCGCCAUGCCAGUGUCCUUCAGCGAGAGCAGGAGAGAAGAGGACUAGCCAACCGGGCGUCAAAAGCCCCGACACAAUGAUGCCUCUUGUAUUGGGUUUCUGGCUCGAUGACCACACCUGGGAAAGGCUGGAGGGCCCGCGGCACCGGUUUAUAAUGCUGAUGAUUAACUAAAUAGAGUCUGGGAAAGCAGGUCUGCUCGGCUUUCUCAUUUCAUGGGGCCUGACUGACCGUGAGGAAGACGGGAGUGUUCUCAAGCGGCGGGGUGGAAAUUCAAGACCUUUCUUUGCUUUUUUUCUCAGCCCCUGCCUUCCAAAAACCUUCUUUGGUUUGGUGGCAUUCUUUGCUUGGGGUACCUUUCAAGACGGUAAGAUUACAGGUGCAUUCUCCAUUUGGCAUCCCCCUGACCUUUUCUCCCUCUUUCUCCCUUCCCCCUUUCAACACUAGGCUCAAUUUUUGUCUUGCUUGCGGGGUGACAGAAAACCUUUCACCAUAUCCAUAACACACCUUUUCUGUAAUCAAUGACGCCACUAUGGAAAUAGUGCAACGAAACUUUCUUCAGUAAGGUGUUUUUUCUGUUUUAUUGAAAGAAACAUUCAAUUUUUGUGUCAUUUAACAAGUUUUAUGUUUGAUUCAGAAAGUAUCUAUGUCUUCAGUACGAAGGCGAGCUUUUUGCACGACGCACCUGUGAAGUAGCCACGUUGUUCAGUAAAAGAGCGCCGUUUCGGUCACCUCCCGCAUACGGGCUGGCCGCUCAGUUCGAGCUGAGCAACAUUCCAUCAGCCUUUCAUCACUCCACUAACACAAAGACAACAGCAUCAGAGGUCCACCGAUGAGUGGGGGGGGGAGCAACCCCUCAUAUUUUAGGCCACCAUUUAAUGCCAGUUAACUGCAGCUGAAAGUUGUGGUCGGAAAAAAAUCCAAUUCACCCGAGAGGGUGAUUGAGCAACAACGCCGACUUGACUUACUUUUAACUCGGCUGUAUUUUGUGCGAAAUUAGUAACUGGCGCGUAUCGUGUGAAAAAGCAGCCCUUCCUCCCGUCGUUGCCGUGCCAUAGCUUUAGACUAGUCAGAACAGGUUUGGGCAAUCAUUAACAACUUUUGUGGCCCAGUGUUCUGUGACAGCCCGUGUGGGCUGGAGAGCACAACGCCAGCCUUCUUAAGCACGCCAAGUGGAUGUCCUGCUUGUAGAUCGCGGCUACAAAAUGUUUGCUCAGCAAGUGCAUGCAUUUGGCUGACUAGGUUUGCGUCUCCGAGUCACGUACGUUGUUGCGCCUCCGGGCUGCACUCGCAAACUUACAUUCAAUCGUCACUUUAGUAGCAGAAAAGUGACAAAUGUAUUAAUCGAUGAAACUGUAAAUAUGUAUCAUUUCAAAGUCAUCUCACAUUACCUUUCAAAGGCUGAUUUUAUUUUGAAAAAAAAUCAACCCAAAUUGCAUGUGCUACAGACUCUUUUCUCCUGCUAACAACCCAGGCUAAACUUAGCCCCACCCUGAUGUGCAAAGCUGAGUCAAGAUACGUCACUUCAACUUAUAGUUCCUUGGCACCAUCUUGUGGCACAAAAAGCACUUUAUGAGUAGCGAAGCUUAUAUUGAAUUAAGUCUCGUAUGUUUGAUGUCACACGUCCGUCCGUCUAUCCCCGCUAGGUCUUCACGGGUGAUCAUCUCCAUCUUACAAGGCAGCAUUGGACUACAUCUUCUUUUCUAAUACUGCCUGGUAAUGAUGAUGAUAGUCAUCUGCUUACAACAAGCGCACAAAUCAUUGUUAGCAGCCGCAGACUAGUGUUACACAGGCCGGAGAAGGAGGCUCUCAGGAUCCAUCUUACCGGGCAGUGCUGGAUUGUACUACUGUUGUUCUAACACUGUCUGGUAACGAUGUUUUCUGGAGACCGCAAAGCUGCAGUCGGUCGCAUUUGGUUGCCUCAACAAAGCUUCCCUUGAUACCUCCUAAUGACGUUUGGCUAAUGUCUGAUUAAGCUAAAGCAUGGCACAGGGGUGAAUUUAAGCAAGAAGACGCAAGAAAGAGAUGGAAUGUACUUGUCCGCCGUAUUUUGCAUGUCAGGCCACAGACGCGUGUGGCGAGUAUGCCAGUAGCAAAAAUGCAGUUAAUGAGCACGUCUGAUAAGCACAAUCGCAACGACAGCAGCAUGUUACUUAAAAUAGGUCGAGUGCGUGUGUUCUAUUACAGCUUCAGUGUUUUACUUCUUCAAUUCAAUUUGCCUACCUGACUUUUUUUUCUCUCGUCUUCAAUGUCAAUCCCACCCCACCUGCAUAAAAGACUAGCAGUACGUUGAUUGUUCCACCGGUCGUGCAAGGCCAGCCCGUUUCUUUCUUUUUUUUUUUCUUUUUUUUGCCGGUUGCUUAUCAUGAACAGCGCCUGCCUUUGUACUUCGUGGCAGCCAUUGGCCCAUCUGGCCUGGCUCGCGCGGUGCAUCAUGAAACUGAGCUGACCUGAGCCUCUUGUUAUUUUAGCUAUCCAACAUAUGAAGAUCUGAUUUAAUACAAACGUGUAAACUGGGAAUUGAACAUCUCUAAACAAAAGAGCGAACAGAAACCUUAUGUGUUUAAGGAGGGAGAAUUACAGCCGCACCUUUAUGUACCCACUCAGCUCCAUUACCCAAGCCAAAAGAACAGCCCCCCCUGCUCGUUGUCUUCGAGCUGAUGUCGCUUGGUGCUGGCGUAUGAAAGCGCAAGAGAAAGAGGAACUUUUUCAGGCCGUUUCUUCUGCGCUGCUGUUUCCUCAGAGGUCACCCUGCCAGCCUGUUGAUAGGCGUCUUACCAGACAUGGUUAGAUGUAAUUAUUGGUGUCUAAUACUGUCUGGUAAUGCCGUCCAUUAAAUGGCAUUGCCUUCCGCUGUCUUCCUUCUGCUCUCUCGCUCUCAUGCGUCUUCACGUGCGCGCCUUUGCAUACUUGACUGUGGAACUGCGAUCCUUGCACUUGAAGGGGGAUGAAUGUCACGACUUGGAUUCUUCCAUGUGACUUGAGUCAAAGUUUAACUGUGCUCAACUCUGAAUGUUCUUUUAAGACGGGAUAUUUUUGUGACGAGCAUAAGGAUGAAUUUUGUCCGUACAAAGAUGUGUCCUCUACCCCUCCGUACUGUAACAAAAUACCUUCCAGGAACUUGGCUUCUCUCCAGGUACAGUAGAUAAAAGCACUGUGUGUGGCGAUAUUUUAUCCGUGGGCAAAACAUGUAAUGUGAAAGAAUAUAUUGAAUAAAUACAAUAAGAAUUCA
Molecule: long non-coding RNA, 3460 nt
Organism: Syngnathus acus (greater pipefish)
Lineage: Eukaryota; Metazoa; Chordata; Actinopteri; Syngnathiformes; Syngnathidae
Exons: 2
Source: RefSeq, a predicted model, not a curated record